Molecule: long non-coding RNA, 281 nt
Filed under: Rosa chinensis
Lineage: Eukaryota; Viridiplantae; Streptophyta; Magnoliopsida; Rosales; Rosaceae
Description: sRNA RchiOBHm_Chr2g0123481
Source: RNAcentral
AUGUUACUGUUUGUAGCUGCUUUUGAAGUCAAUUAUCUUGGAUUCACCGUAUUGUGCAUAAGGAGCAUAGGGUUUUGAAGGGUGAGCAAACGCAGAUCACUCUUUCGAAUUUGUUUGAGAAUUCAGCUGAACAAGAUGUCAAGUCAAGAUGCAUCAAAUGAACCUCAACAUGAGAUGUCAGAUAGUAUUUUGCAAGAGCAUAGUUUGGAAACCGAAAGUGACAUCAAUCAGGUAGAAUAUAAUGGUAUUAGAUAUGAUAAGUUGUCUCCAGAAGGCCUUAU